This is a non-coding RNA of Arvicanthis niloticus (Nile rat), 875 nucleotides long. The record is from RefSeq and is a predicted model, not a curated record. Lineage: Eukaryota; Metazoa; Chordata; Mammalia; Rodentia; Muridae.
GCAGCGGCGAGUGCGGACAGGAGGCGGCGGCAACAGCGGGGACUAGGCAGCAGAGGCUAUGCAUCCAAGUGCGGCUGGGCGGUCGCGGCACCCCUGAGGCCCGGGCGGGGUUCCGGGUACACGGCGCGCGGGGACAUUUGUUCUGGAGUGCGAGGGAGAGGCGUAGUGGCCCGGGAGGCGUCGACAGAGCUGCGCACAGAGCUGAGGAGGGGGCUUCGGAGCAGGGCUGGGGAGGGGGGCGGCUGGCGCUGGCAGCCCCCGGGUGGGGGCGGGGUGGGCGCCGGAGGCGCGAUGCUGGGCGUCGUGGAGCUGCUGUUGUUGGGGACUGCGUGGCUGGCAGGCCCAGCCCGCGGGCAGAAUGAGACAGAACCUAUCGUACUGGAGGGCAAGUGCCUGGUGGUGUGUGACUCCAACCCCACGUCUGACCCUACGGGUACUGCUCUGGGCAUCUCUGUGCGCUCGGGCAGCGCCAAGGUGGCUUUCUCUGCCAUCAGGAGUACCAACCAUGAGCCGUCCGAGAUGAGUAAUCGCACCAUGAUCAUCUACUUCGACCAGGUACUAGUGAACAUCGGGAACAACUUUGACUCAGAACGCAGCACUUUCAUCGCCCCGCGCAAAGGCAUCUACAGUUUUAACUUCCACGUGGUGAAAGUCUACAACAGACAGACCAUCCAGGUGAGCCUCAUGUUGAACGGGUGGCCGGUGGAUUUCAGCCUUCGCCGGUGAUCAAGACGUGACACGCGAGGCCGCUAGCAACGGCGUCCCUCAUUCAGAUGGAGAAAGGCGACCGAGCAUACCUCAAGCUGGAGCGGGGGAACUUGAUGGGGGGCUGGAAAGUACUCAACCUUUUCUGAUUCCUCGUGUUUCCCCUCUGA